This 566-nucleotide ribosomal RNA is filed under the name proteobacterium MS-F-62. RNAcentral describes it as "bacterial SSU rRNA". It matches the Rfam family "Bacterial small subunit ribosomal RNA", at positions 107 to 688 of the family's 1533-position model. Lineage: Bacteria; Pseudomonadati; Pseudomonadota. The record is from RNAcentral.
UGAGUAACACUUGGGUAACCUACCCUUCAGAGGGGGACAACUUCGGGAAACCGAAGCUAAUACCGCGUACGCUGCAAUUUCUCACGGGAGAUUGUGGGAAAGCUUUUGCGCUGAAGGAUGGGCCCGAGCCCGAUUAGUUUGUUGGUGGGGUAAUGGCCUACCAAGACUACGAUUGGUAGCUGGUCUGAGAGGAUGAUCAGCCACACUGGUACUGGAACACGGACCAGACUCCUACGGGAGGCAGCAGUUAGGAAUUUUGCGCAAUGGGGGAAACCCUGACGCAGCAACGCCGCGUGAGUGAUGAAGGCCCUAGGGUUGUAAAGCUCUUUCGAUAGGGAAGAAAAAAAUGACGGUACCUAUAGAAGAAGCACCGGCUAACUCCGUGCCAGCAGCCGCGGUAAGACGGAGGGUGCGAGCGUUGCUCGGAUUUACUGGGCGUAAAGAGCACGUAGGCGGCUAGGUAAGUCUGAUGUGAAAGCCCACGACUCAAUCGUGGAAGUGCAUUGGAUACUGCUUGGCUAGAAUGCAGGAGAGGUGAGCGGAAUUCCAGGUGUAGAGGUGAAAUU